CCAGGUUUCUGAUCUUGCUAUGGCAACAGGAAAGUUCAAAGGCUGGUUAGUUAAGAUCCGAGUGACACAGAGUACUACUGGAAGGGCAUUUUUUUACUUGUAGAAGAGUCCCUGAUGUUUUGGUUCCAAAUGCUACAGCCUUAGAAGAUGACAAAAUCACAAACAGAUGUUGGAAAUGCCCAGGACAUCCAACCCUAGCAUAGCUUUUUCAAAAAUAAUUUCCAAUCUAAUUUGGUUUGUUGGUCUUGUUUCUUUUUUAUGCCUUAUCAUUAAACCCACAUCAAACUU
Non-coding RNA from Cyanistes caeruleus (blue tit), 288 nucleotides. The record is from RefSeq and is a predicted model, not a curated record. NCBI's taxonomy places the organism in Eukaryota, Metazoa, Chordata, Aves, Passeriformes, Paridae.